AUGGCACGCCAAUAUGCUUUAAGGGAUGGUCUUCCAGAAGAGAUUGCGGAAGCACUGUUUGAGAUAACACUUCCAAGGUUCUCUGGCGAUGUUUUCCCAAAAAUAGAUGCUGGUAUAGUCCUUGCGGUUGCUGAUAGAUUGGACAGCCUAGUGGGUCUGUUCGGAGCUGGAUGUCAGCCAAGUUCUUCAAAUGAUCCAUUUGGACUGAGAAGGAUCUCUUAUGGAUUGGUUCAAAUAUUGGUUGAGAAUAAGAGGAACUUUGACCUCACAAAGGCCUUGACCUUGGUGGCACAGGUGCAGCCUAUAAGAAUAGACAAUGACGUUAUAAAUGAGGUAGUGCAAUUUGUAACACGGAGACUCGAACAACUUUUGGUGGAUGAGGGAAUUAACUAUGAAAUAGUUCGGUCGGUGCUUAUGGAGCGUGCGAACUGCCCAUAUCUGGCAUCACAAACGGCAGCUGAAAUGGAAGCAUUUUCAAGAACUGAAGAUUUCCCAAAAAUUGUUGAGGCGUAUUCCAGGCCAGUUCGAACUAUACGUGGGAAGCAAAUCGAGUCUGCUUGGGAGGUUGACGCAAGCGUAUUUGAGAAGGACGAAGAAAAAGCCUUGUGGAGCGCCUAUUUGGAGGCUGUCGACAAGAUCCAUCCUGGUGUUGACGUCAAAACCUUCGUCGAGGCCUCCCUGCUUCUGAUACAGCCUCUGGAAGAUUUCUUCAACAAUGUUUUUGUCAUGGCGGAAGAUGAGAAGAUCCGCAACAACCGGCUGGCACUGCUGCAAAAGGUUGCGAGUUUGACGAAGGGGAUAGCCGACCUCUCGGUUUUACCAGGGUUUUAG
Molecule: ribosomal RNA, 831 nt
Filed under: Triticum aestivum (bread wheat)
Lineage: Eukaryota; Viridiplantae; Streptophyta; Magnoliopsida; Poales; Poaceae
Description: partial small subunit ribosomal RNA
Source: RNAcentral